AGAGAGACCAAACUAUGACAUUAUUACAUAUAAUAAAGUAGUUGCACCAGCAAUGUUUAGACUCUCUCUUCUUCCUGGAUCUUUGGGAGCAAUUAAGCCCAUAAGAAAUCAGACACUCACCCCAAUUCUGAUGUAACAGCCUUGGGAGAGGUUGCAGUGAAAAGCUGGUCCUGCUGUGGUGGAGAGAAUGGAGAAAACAUAAUAAAAGGCUAAACCUUUGCUCAAACUUUCUCCUCAGCUUCUCUUUGGAUCUGGAAAGCUGGGGACCCACAGGGCAGAGCCAUGGUACUGGAGGAGCCAUUAACAACUUGCUCACUGUUGGAUUCUGCUGAGAGUGAUGUUGGAGAGAGACUGGAAGGCAAGAGAAGGAAGAACUGCCCUUCCUAUCAGCUGGCUACUCCUGGCAAUAGACCCAAGAAUGGCCCUUCAUCCCAGCAGCAGGUUGUCCCAGUCACCAGCUUCUUUUAGUGCCCUCAGAACAAGCCUCAUGACACCACAUCAGAAGGACCGUGCAAGCCAGGCAGCACCCACUCUACAGAGAUCUGAGCUCUGUAGGGCCCCUCUGUGAUGAACAGAAUCAGUCAGAGGGGGACUUAACUCAGUGGCUAAGGACUUUUCUCCAAGUUUGGAGGUCCUGAUAACCCUGACUCAUUAACCCUUUAUUGCCCUAACCAGUGGAGUGGGAGGGAGAGAUUGUUUCCUGCCCUUUUUCCUUUGUUAUAUCACUAUUGUCUUGUUUUGCUUUUUUUGUCCACCAAUAACUAUUUAAUUUCCUAUAUUAAACAUUUCCUGUUAAAAUA
Macaca mulatta (Rhesus monkey) is the source of this 800-nucleotide non-coding RNA. The record is from RefSeq and is a predicted model, not a curated record. Lineage: Eukaryota; Metazoa; Chordata; Mammalia; Primates; Cercopithecidae.